ACUCCUACGGGAGGCAGCAGUGAGGAAUAUUGGUCAAUGGGCGGAAGCCUGAACCAGCCAUUCCGCGUGAAGGAAGAAGGCCUUACGGGUUGUAAACUUCUUUUCUGUAAGAAGAAAUACCCUGAUGUAUCGGGGUUUGACGGUAUUAUAGGAAUAAGCAUCGGCUAACUCCGUGCCAGCAGCCGCGGUAAUACGGAGGAUGCAAGCGUUAUCCGGAUUUAUUGGGUUUAAAGGGUGCGCAGGUUGUUUGGUAAGUCAGUGGUGAAAGUCUGUCGCUUAACGACAGGAUUGCCAUUGAUACUGUUAAACUUGAGUAUGGGUGAGGUAUUCGGAAUGUGUAGUGUAGCGGUGAAAUGCAUAGAUAUUACACAGAACGCCGAUUGCGGAGGCAGGAUACUAGGCCAUUACUGACGCUGAGGCACGAAAGCGUGGGGAUCAAACAGGAUUAGAUACCCUGGUAGUC
Molecule: ribosomal RNA, 463 nt
Filed under: uncultured bacterium
Lineage: Bacteria
Description: bacterial SSU rRNA
Rfam family: Bacterial small subunit ribosomal RNA
Source: RNAcentral